Molecule: long non-coding RNA, 457 nt
Organism: Melanotaenia boesemani (Boeseman's rainbowfish)
Lineage: Eukaryota; Metazoa; Chordata; Actinopteri; Atheriniformes; Melanotaeniidae
Exons: 5
Source: RefSeq, a predicted model, not a curated record
GGGAUAUCAGACCGGAAACGUUCGUUCUUUGCUCCAAGACGGUCAUGGCGAGCAGACUCGCCACCUAUUACUGCUUACUUUGACUUCCUUGUGAGUCGCUGCAUAGUCCCUUUUUUCAGAUACCAUGCCACCUCUGCAAAUGCAGAUGUCCAGUGUCUUCAUUGUGUGGCUCUGAAAGCUGUCAAGCUGUGGUCUCAAAGAUGCUCUUGAAAUGUGAUCCUUUAUCGGCUGUCCUGAGAAAAGGAAAGCUACGGUGGCAAUAUCUGGCCUACAUCUCUGAUUAAUCUCAUCUCUGGUUAUGAAGUCAGCUGAAUGGUCAGAUCUCAUUUAAAAGGUAAGUACUAAACCCAGCUCCUUGCUCCUGUCCAUUGACACUACAGCUGCUGACAUGUCAUUGCAAAUUUCAAUAUAGGAAUUAUAACUGCAUAAUUUUUCUGUAAUAAAGAUUGCAUCCUCA